Molecule: ribosomal RNA, 404 nt
Filed under: uncultured bacterium
Lineage: Bacteria
Description: bacterial SSU rRNA
Rfam family: Bacterial small subunit ribosomal RNA
Source: RNAcentral
UUUUGGACAAUGGGCGCAAGCCUGAUCCAGCUAUGCCGCGUGCAGGAAGAAGGCCUUCGGGUUGUAAACUGCUUUUGUACGGAACGAAACGGUCCUGGUUAAUACCUGGGGCUAAUGACGGUACCGUAAGAAUAAGCACCGGCUAACUACGUGCCAGCAGCCGCGGUAAUACGUAGGGUGCAAGCGUUAAUCGGAAUUACUGGGCGUAAAGCGUGCGCAGGCGGUUUUGUAAGACAGGCGUGAAAUCCCCGGGCUUAACCUGGGAAUGGCGCUUGUGACUGCAAAGCUGGAGUGCGGCAGAGGGGGAUGGAAUUCCGCGUGUAGCAGUGAAAUGCGUAGAUAUGCGGAAGAACACCGAUGGCGAAGGCAAUCCCCUGGGCCUGCACUGACGCUCAUGCACGAGG